GAUGAAGAACGUAGCGAAAUGCGAUAACUAGUGUGAAUUGCAGAUUUUAGUGAAUCAUCGAAUCUUUGAACGCACAUUGCGCCCCUUGGUAUUCCGAGGGGCAUGCCUGUUCGAGCGUCAUAUUAACCACUCCCGCUUGCGGGGUCUUGGGCUUCGCCUCCGGGCGGGCCUUAAAAUCAGUGGCGGUGCCGUCGGGCUCUACGCGUAGUAAAUUUUCUCGCGAUAGGGUCCCGGUGGAUGCUUGCCAACAACCCCCAACUUCUUAAGGUUGACCUCGGAUCAGGUAGGGAUACCCGCUGAACUUAAGCAUAUCAAUAAGCGGAGGA
RNAcentral lists this unclassified non-coding RNA (326 nucleotides) under soil metagenome. Its description in RNAcentral is "partial contains 5.8S ribosomal RNA, internal transcribed spacer 2, and large subunit ribosomal RNA". The stretch from base 1 to 120 matches the Rfam family "5.8S ribosomal RNA", at positions 35 to 154 of the family's 154-position model. The record is from RNAcentral.